This 492-nucleotide ribosomal RNA is filed under the name uncultured bacterium. RNAcentral describes it as "partial 16S ribosomal RNA". It matches the Rfam family "Bacterial small subunit ribosomal RNA", at positions 29 to 507 of the family's 1533-position model. The record is from RNAcentral.
AGUGAACGCUGGCGGUAGGCCUAACACAUGCAAGUCGAACGGCAGCACAGUAAGAGCUUGCUCUUACGGGUGGCGAGUGGCGGACGGGUGAGGAAUACAUCGGAAUCUACUUUUUCGUGGGGGAUAACGUAGGGAAACUUACGCUAAUACCGCAUACGACCUACGGCUGAAAGCAGGGGAUCUUCGGACCUUGCGCGAUUGAAUGAGCCGAUGUCGGAUUAGCUAGUUGGCGGGGUAAAGGCCCACCAAGGCGACGAUCCGUAGCUGGUCUGAGAGGAUGAUCAGCCACACUGGAACUGAGACACGGUCCAGACUCCUACGGGAGGCAGCAGUGGGGAAUAUUGGACAAUGGGCGCAAGCCUGAUCCAGCCAUACCGCGUGGGUGAAGAAGGCCUUCGGGUUGUAAAGCCCUUUUGUUGGGAAAGAAAAGCAGCAGGUUAAUACCCCGCUGUUCUUACGGUACCCAAAGAAUAAGCACCGGCUAACUUCGUG